This is a long non-coding RNA of Belonocnema kinseyi, 1775 nucleotides long. RefSeq lists it as uncharacterized. The record is from RefSeq and is a predicted model, not a curated record. The transcript has 5 exons. NCBI's taxonomy places the organism in Eukaryota, Metazoa, Arthropoda, Insecta, Hymenoptera, Cynipidae.
GUGAAAAAUCUACAUGUGGUUCAACCUUUAUUAUUUAUGGACCGAGUGAAUAAGCGAUUCUACGUUAAAUAAUUUUAUACAAUUUUUAGAUACAAGAGGAUGCAGGUCGACCUCCACUCGAAACUGACCAGCCAGAGCUUUUGAAGGCAAUAUCUGAUAUUGCAAUGCAAGGUGGGGCUGCUGAUGAUCGUCGACGCUCCGAAUUAAUUCGAACACGUAAAACUUUACGUAGCUUACACACGGAACUACAAGCGCAAGGAUUUCAAAUAUCUGAAUCGGCUACAUAUCUUCGACUUCAACCUAAAAAUUCACAUACUUCUGAAGGCAAACGAGAUGUCAGAACUGUGCCUAUAAAACUCUGUUGUGCACAAGCUGAUGCAAGGAAAGAGCACGUAGAAGGCAAAUUCUGUACUGCAUCAAUUCGAUCAUUAGAGCAAGUAAUUGUUACUCUUGGAUCUAAUCAAGUUGCAGUGAGAUCGCAAGAUGAUAAAGUCGAGUACCAAUUGGUAUUGCUGCUGCUAAGAAACAGGCUCCGCUGCUCAUGUUCCUCGAGUAUAAAGUCAGGUUGCCUGAUCAUGAUUGGGUGGUGGCACCAGGAUACAAGUUUAUUCCAAGCGCUUACGCUGGUAUACGCAUUAAUGUUGGAAAAAUUGGUGAUCCUAAAACGGUCUCAUACUCCGGACCGACUUUUGUAGCGAUACGUAGUGCCAAGCACUCGUCCAGCACUGCAACGUCUCACGCAUUUGAUUUUUAGACACUUUUAGAAUUAGAAUUCUUUCGACAUAUUCUUUACGUAAAAAAUGAAGAUCAAGUAAAACCAGUAGUUGUUAUAAUGUCAGAUGGUGGACCCGACGAGAAUCGUCGCUAUCGUUAAGUGAUUAAUCAUGCAGUUAAUCACUUCAAAGAAUAUAACUUGGACGCCUUAUUUAUAAUCACAAACGCAUGAGGACGGAGUGCUUACAAUCAUGUGGAGCGACGCGCAUGGCUCCCUUGACUCGUGAAAUGAUAGGCUUGAUACUACCGCAUGAUCAUUAUGAUUCCCACCUUAAUCAAUCUGCUGUUACGAUAAAGAGCUCGAACUGAAAAAUUUAGCUUUUUCUGCUGAAACACUCGGUGAGGUACUGAGUCAAGUCAUCAUCGAUGGGUAUCAAGUUGAUGCCAAGUACGUCAUUCCAGAAGACUUUGCCGAAAAACCAAAGUCGGUAUCACAAGAAUGAUUGUGAAGUGCAAUGACGGAAAUUCUUAUGGAGAUUGGAGAAGUAACAUAAAAGAUAUUCUUCCAUUGAGUGAUGGGUUUUUACCACCUCCGUUCCCAUUGCGUUGUCCAGACGAUGGUUUGCUCACCAUUCCAACUCCACAAAAUAUUCAUGCUGAUAAGAGUUUUUGUGAUUUAUUUUUGAGCGGAUUUGUGGGUUUUAAACCAACAACAGAUAAUGGAAUGCCUGUUCUUAUAUGAUUUUUAUUGUCCAUCAAUCCGAAAAGAAAUUAUUGGAAGAAUCUGUCAGUAUUGUGGUUUAUACUAUGGGUCUAAAAACAAAAAUGUUUACAUGUCAAAGAAAUUCAUCAUCAGGCAAUCGAUGAAAGACAAAGAGUAAACAAAGUAUUAACAAGAAGAGGAGGUGAACUACUACGUGAACUUGAUGCGCUAGAGCCAAUACUUGAGUGGUUUGAAGAAGGAAAUAUCAGCAGAGAAAAUUUAAAUAGUUUAACUGAAAGUAUUAAUCAAGAAGUUGAAUUCACAUUGCCUGUUAUCCAAAAUCUGCAUGACUGGCUAG